AACGAACGCUGGCGGCAGGCCUAACACAUGCAAGUCGAACGCCCUGCAAGGGGAGUGGCAGACGGGUGAGUAACGCGUGGGAACCUACCUAGAGGUGCGGAAUAGCCCAGGGAAACUUGGAGUAAUACCGCAUAAGCCCGCAAGGGGAAAGAUUUAUCGCCUUUAGAUGGGCCCGCGUCUGAUUAGCUAGUUGGUGAGGUAAUGGCUCACCAAGGCGACGAUCAGUAGCUGGUUUGAGAGAAUGACCAGCCACACUGGGACUGAGACACGGCCCAGACUCCUACGGGAGGCAGCAGUGGGGAAUCUUGGACAAUGGGGGCAACCCUGAUCCAGCCAUGCCGCGUGAGUGACGAAGGCCUUAGGGUUGUAAAGCUCUUUUGGCGGGGACGAUAAUGACGGUACCCGCAGAAUAAGUCCCGGCUAACUUCGUG
RNAcentral lists this ribosomal RNA (431 nucleotides) under uncultured bacterium. RNAcentral's name for it is "bacterial SSU rRNA". It matches the Rfam family "Bacterial small subunit ribosomal RNA", at positions 29 to 507 of the family's 1533-position model. The record is from RNAcentral.